This 829-nucleotide ribosomal RNA is filed under the name Chaetomium rectangulare. Its description in RNAcentral is "partial large subunit ribosomal RNA". It matches the Rfam family "Eukaryotic large subunit ribosomal RNA", at positions 75 to 937 of the family's 3401-position model. The record is from RNAcentral. Lineage: Eukaryota; Fungi; Ascomycota; Sordariomycetes; Sordariales; Chaetomiaceae.
UUGCCCUAGUAACGGCGAGUGAAGCGGCAACAGCUCAAAUUUGAAAUCUGGCUUCGGCCCGAGUUGUAAUUUGCAGAGGAAGCUUUAGGCGCGGCACCUUCUGAGUCCCCUGGAACGGGGCGCCAUAGAGGGUGAGAGCCCCGUAUAGUUGGAUGCCUAGCCUGUGUAAAGCUCCUUCGACGAGUCGAGUAGUUUGGGAAUGCUGCUCAAAAUGGGAGGUAAAUUUCUUCUAAAGCUAAAUACCGGCCAGAGACCGAUAGCGCACAAGUAGAGUGAUCGAAAGAUGAAAAGCACUUUGAAAAGAGGGUUAAAUAGCACGUGAAAUUGUUGAAAGGGAAGCGCUUGUGACCAGACUUGCGCCGGGCAGAUCAUCCGGUGUUCUCACCGGUGCACUCUGCCCGGCUCAGGCCAGCAUCGGUUCUCGCGGGGGGAUAAAGGCCCUGGGAACGUAGCUCCUCCGGGAGUGUUAUAGCCCGGGGCGUAAUGCCCUCGCGGGGACCGAGGUUCGCGCAUCUGCAAGGAUGCUGGCGUAAUGGUCAUCAGCGACCCGUCUUGAAACACGGACCAAGGAGUCAAGGUUUUGCGCGAGUGUUUGGGUGUAAAACCCGCACGCGUAAUGAAAGUGAACGUAGGUGAGAGCUUCGGCGCAUCAUCGACCGAUCCUGAUGUUUUCGGAUGGAUUUGAGUAGGAGCGUUAAGCCUUGGACCCGAAAGAUGGUGAACUAUGCUUGGAUAGGGUGAAGCCAGAGGAAACUCUGGUGGAGGCUCGCAGCGGUUCUGACGUGCAAAUCGAUCGUCAAAUCUGAGCAUGGGGGCGAAAGACUAAUCG